RNAcentral lists this ribosomal RNA (292 nucleotides) under uncultured bacterium. Its description in RNAcentral is "partial 16S ribosomal RNA". The record is from RNAcentral.
GGACUACCAGGGUUUCUAAUCCUGUUUGAUCCCCACGCUUUCGGGUCUCAGUGUCAAUGUUGGGCCAGGUAGCCGCCUUCGCCACCGGUGUUCCUCCAGAUAUCUACGUAUUUCACCACUACACCUGGAAUUCCACUACCCUCUCCCACAUUCAAGCUCUGCAGUAUCAAAAGCACUUCCCGGGUUAAGCCCGGGGCUUUCACUUCUGACUUAUAGAGCCACCUACACCCGCUUUACGCCCAAUGAUUCCGAACAACGCUUGGACCCCUCGUCUUACCGCGGCUGCUGGCAC